UACGGCGGUUCCAAGCGUUGUUCGGAAUUACUGGGCGUAAAGGGGGCGCAGGCGGCCUGGUCAGUGGAAAGUGGAAGCCCGGGGCUCAACCUCGGAAGGCCUUUCCAUACUGCCUGGCUUGAGUUCGUGAGAGGGAAGCGGAAUUCAGGGUGUAGCGGUGAAAUGCUUAGAUAUCCUGAGGAACACCGAUGGCGAAAGCAGCUUCCUGGCACGAUACUGACGCUCAUGCCCGAAAGCGUGGGGAGCGAACAGG
Molecule: ribosomal RNA, 253 nt
Filed under: uncultured bacterium
Lineage: Bacteria
Description: partial 16S ribosomal RNA
Rfam family: Bacterial small subunit ribosomal RNA
Source: RNAcentral